AUAAUUUCAGGCAUGUCGAUAACGGUGUUUCUUUUGCUGAAUUUGAAGCAUCAAGUGUGGAUGAUCUCUCUGAAGUCUCAAUUAGCAAGGGAUUCUAAGUAAAAUCAAGAGAGCAUUUUCUCUUAUUACAGGCAUGUUCUAUGACUGCUCCACAUUAAGAGAAGCCGCUCUAUGCUCUAUGGCCCUCAGAUAUGCGUCUAAACCACAUCAAAUUGUUUCCAGAGUUGUGAAUAUUGAGUUCACUCUUUUAUACAGCAGAGAUG
This 263-nucleotide unclassified non-coding RNA is filed under the name Hevea brasiliensis (rubber tree). The record is from RNAcentral. Lineage: Eukaryota; Viridiplantae; Streptophyta; Magnoliopsida; Malpighiales; Euphorbiaceae.